Molecule: ribosomal RNA, 598 nt
Filed under: Aspergillus pseudoglaucus
Lineage: Eukaryota; Fungi; Ascomycota; Eurotiomycetes; Eurotiales; Aspergillaceae
Description: eukaryotic LSU rRNA
Rfam family: Eukaryotic large subunit ribosomal RNA
Source: RNAcentral
UUGACCUCGGAUCAGGUAGGGAUACCCGCUGAACUUAAGCAUAUCAAUAAGCGGAGGAAAAGAAACCAACAGGGAUUGCCUCAGUAACGGCGAGUGAAGCGGCAAGAGCUCAAAUUUGAAAUCUGGCCCCUUCGGGGUCCGAGUUGUAAUUUGUAGAGGAUGCUUCGGGUGCGGCCCCCGUCUAAGUGCUCUGGAACGGGCCAUCGGAGAGGGUGAGAAUCCCGUCUGGGACGGGGUGUCCGCGUCCAUGUGAAGCUCCUUCGACGAGUCGAGUUGUUUGGGAAUGCAGCUCUAAAUGGGUGGUAAAUUUCAUCUAAAGCUAAAUACUGGCCGGAGACCGAUAGCGCACAAGUAGAGUGAUCGAAAGAUGAAAAGCACUUUGAAAAGAGAGUUAAACAGCACGUGAAAUUGUUGAAAGGGAAGCGCUUGCGACCAGACUCGCUUCCGGGGUUCAGCCGGCUUUCGGGCCGGUGUACUUCCCCGGGGGCGGGCCAGCGUCGGUUUGGGCGGCCGGUCAAAGGCCCCUGGAAUGUAACGCCCCUCGGGGCGCCUUAUAGCCAGGGGUGUCAUGCGGCCAGCCUGGACCGAGGAACGCGCU